This 1077-nucleotide long non-coding RNA is filed under the name Pogona vitticeps (central bearded dragon). Its description in RNAcentral is "lncRNA (ENSPVIG00000003004.1)". The record is from RNAcentral. Lineage: Eukaryota; Metazoa; Chordata; Lepidosauria; Squamata; Agamidae.
GAUGGGCAAAGUUGCUUUUCUGGAUUUUCUGCUAGCAGUGCUGCAGGGGGUGACAGUAUGCCGAAACUUCGUUUCCGAAAAAAGACAAGGGCCACGCAGAAGAGUCACACAGAAGUCCUCGAUCGUUUCCUCCUUCAUUUCCAGGGAUGUACAGUAAUUCCAACAUGGCUUAGGAGAGUUUCCUAAACAAUCAAGAGCCCCUUAGAAUUCCUGCCUCAUAUUUUUCCUCAGGUUAGGAGGCUACGGUUCAUAAUGUCUGAAAGGUUCUUUCAUGAACAAACCUCCUCAUGUCUUGCAAACUCAAGCCUGUGGCUUCCGUUAUUGAGUCUAUCCAUCUGGCGUUCAGCCUCUGCCUCCUGCCUCCCAUGGUCCCCAGCAUCACUGUCUCCUGUGGCGAGCCUUGUCUUCUCACGGUAUGUCCAAAAUUCGAUCAUCUACGUUUAGUUAUUCACACAUGCGGUGAGAAUCCAGGCUUUGGAUGGUCUGGAAGCUGUUUAUUGAUUUUUCUCCGCGUUUGGAAGGACUGCUUUUUAAAACAACUCCCCAAAAGACUUCUUUUUAAAACCAAAAACUCCCAGAAUGCCCCAGCCAACAUGUUCUCUGGACCUCAACUCCCAGCAUCCCCCAGGGGGCAAUUUGUUUUUGGACCACAAUUCCCAGCAUCCCCUAGGAAGCAGAGUUCAUUUUUGGACCACAAUUCCCAGCAUCCCCUAGGAAGCAGAGUUCAUUUUUGGACCACAAUUCCCAGCAUCCCCCAGGAAGCAGAGUUUUUUUUGGACCACAAUUCCCAGCAUCUCCCAGGAAGCAGAGUUCGUUUUUGGACCACAAUUCCCAGCAUCCCCCAGGAAGCAGUUUAUUUUUUGGACCACAAUUCCCAGCAUCCCCCAGGAAGCAGAGUUUGUUUUUGGACCACAAUUCCCAGCAUCCCCCAGGCAGCAGGGUUCGUUUUUGAACCACAGUUCCCAGCAUCCCCUCAGCCAGCCAGCCGGCCAAGGUGGACGAAAGCCCUGGUCUUCCUGGCCCCGCCCAGUGCCCAAAGAGCCCGCNNNNNNNNNNNNNNNNNNNNNNNNNNNNNNN